AUUGAACGCUGGCGGCAUGCCUUACACAUGCAAGUCGAACGGCAGCACGGGGGCAACCCUGGUGGCGAGUGGCGAACGGGUGAGUAAUGCAUCGGAACGUGCCCAGUAGUGGGGGAUAACUAGUCGAAAGAUUAGCUAAUACCGCAUACGACCUAUGGGUGAAAGCGGGGGAUUCGCAAGAACCUCGCGCUAUCGGAGCGGCCGAUGUCUGAUUAGCUAGUUGGCGGGGUAAAGGCCCACCAAGGCUUCGAUCAGUAGCUGGUCUGAGAGGACGACCAGCCACACUGGGACUGAGACACGGCCCAGACUCCUACGGGAGGCAGCAGUGGGGAAUUUUGGACAAUGGCGCAAGCCUGAUCCAGCCAUGCCGCGUG
Molecule: ribosomal RNA, 374 nt
Filed under: uncultured bacterium
Lineage: Bacteria
Description: bacterial SSU rRNA
Rfam family: Bacterial small subunit ribosomal RNA
Source: RNAcentral